UGAACGCUAGCGGCAGGCUUAACACAUGCAAGUCGAGGGGCAUCACGGGUAGCAAUACCUGGUGGCGACCGGCGCAAGGGUGCGUAACGCGUGAGCAACAUGCCCUAUACAGGGGGAUAAUCCAGGGAAACUUGGUCUAAUAUCCCAUAGCAUUUAGAGGUGGCAUCACCAUUAAAUUAAAGCUUCGGUGGUAUAGGAUUGGCUCGCGUGACAUUAGCUAGAUGGUGGGGUAACGGCUCACCAUGGCUAUGAUGUCUAGGGGUUCUGAGAGGAAGACCCCCCACACUGGGACUGAGACACGGCCCAGACUCCUACGGGAGGCAGCAGUGAGGAAUAUUGGACAAUGGAUGGAAAUCUGAUCCAGCCAUGCCGCGUGCAGGAAGACGGCCCUAUGGGUUGUAAACUGCUUUUAUAUGGGAGCAAUAAGGUCUACGAGUAGACCGAUGAGAGUACCAUAUGAAUAAGCAUCGGCUAACUCCGUG
RNAcentral lists this ribosomal RNA (482 nucleotides) under uncultured bacterium. Its description in RNAcentral is "bacterial SSU rRNA". It matches the Rfam family "Bacterial small subunit ribosomal RNA", at positions 30 to 507 of the family's 1533-position model. The record is from RNAcentral.